CUACGGGUCGCUGCAGUGGGGAAUAUUGCACAAUGGAGGAAACUCUGAUGCAGCAACGCCGCGUGGAGGAUGACACUUUUCGGAGCGUAAACUCCUUUUAUAUAGGAAGAUAAUGACGGUACUAUAUGAAUAAGCGCCGGCUAACUCCGUGCCAGCAGCCGCGGUAAUACGGAGGGUGCAAGCGUUACUCGGAAUCACUGGGCGUAAAGAGCGUGUAGGCGGGUUAAUAAGUCAGAAGUGAAAUCCUAUGGCUCAACCAUAGAACUGCUUUUGAAGCUGUUAACCUAGAGUGUGGGAGAGGUAGAUGGAAUUUCUGGUGUAGGGGUAAAAUCCGUAGAGAUCAGAAGGAAUACCGAUUGCGAAGGCGAUCUACUGGAACAUAACUGACGCUGAGACGCGAAAGCGUGGGGAGCAAACAGGAUUAGAUACCCGCGUAGUC
RNAcentral lists this ribosomal RNA (439 nucleotides) under uncultured bacterium. RNAcentral describes it as "partial 16S ribosomal RNA". It matches the Rfam family "Bacterial small subunit ribosomal RNA", at positions 339 to 795 of the family's 1533-position model. The record is from RNAcentral.